Molecule: ribosomal RNA, 1261 nt
Filed under: Salmonella enterica subsp. enterica serovar Typhimurium
Lineage: Bacteria; Pseudomonadati; Pseudomonadota; Gammaproteobacteria; Enterobacterales; Enterobacteriaceae
Description: partial 23S ribosomal RNA
Rfam family: Bacterial large subunit ribosomal RNA
Source: RNAcentral
CCGUACACAAAAGCGCAUGUGCUGUGAGCUCGAUGAGUAGGGCGGGACACGUGGUAUCCUGUCUGAAUAUGGGGGGACCAUCCUCCAAGGCUAAAUACUCCUGACUGACCGAUAGUGAACCAGUACCGUGAGGGAAAGGCGAAAAGAACCCCGGCGAGGGGAGUGAAAAAGAACCUGAAACCGUGUACGUACAAGCAGUGGGAGCACAGGUUUACCUGUGUGACUGCGUACCUUUUGUAUAAUGGGUCAGCGACUUAUAUUCUGUAGCAAGGUUAACCGUAUAGGGGAGCCGGAGGGAAACCGAGUCUUAAUUGGGCGUUAAGUUGCAGGGUAUAGACCCGAAACCCGGUGAUCUAGCCAUGGGCAGGUUGAAGGUUGGGUAACACUAACUGGAGGACCGAACCGACUAAUGUUGAAAAAUUAGCGGAUGACCUGUGGCUGGGGGUGAAAGGCCAAUCAAACCGGGAGAUAGCUGGUUCUCCCCGAAAGCUAUUUAGGUAGCGCCUCGUGAAUUCAUCUCCGGGGGUAGAGCACUGUUUCGGCUAGGGGGCCAUCCCGGCUUACCAACCCGAUGCAAACUGCGAAUACCGGAGAAUGUUAUCACGGGAGACACACGGCGGGUGCUAACGUCCGUCGUGAAGAGGGAAACAACCCAGACCGCCAGCUAAGGUCCCAAAGUCAUGGUUAAGUGGGAAACGAUGUGGGAAGGCCCAGACAGCCAGGAUGUUGGCUUAGAAGCAGCCAUCAUUUAAAGAAAGCGUAAUAGCUCACUGGUCGAGUCGGCCUGCGCGGAAGAUGUAACGGGGCUAAACCAUGCACCGAAGCUGCGGCAGCGAACGUAUCACCCAAGACAACUUUACGGAGUUGACGAUUGACGGAGCGAAGCGACGUCAAAGCGUUCAUUAAAGUCGAGUUGGCUUAGGGAUACGUUCGUUGGGUAGGGGAGCGUUCUGUAAGCCUGUGAAGGUGUGUCGUGAGGCAUGCUGGAGGUAUCAGAAGUGCGAAUGCUGACAUAAGUAACGAUAAAGCGGGUGAAAAGCCCGCUCGCCGGAAGACCAAGGGUUCCUGUCCAACGUUAAUCGGGGCAGGGUGAGUCGACCCCUAAGGCGAGGCCGAAAGGCGUAGUCGAUGGGAAACGGGUUAAUAUUCCCGUACUUGGUGUUACUGCGAAGGGGGGACGGAGAAGGCUAUGUUGGCCGGGCGACGGUUGUCCCGGUUUAAGCGUGUAGGUGUGUGUUCCAGGUAAAUCCGGUUCACUUUA